GCGCAUGUAGCUCAGCGGUAGAGCGUCCGUCUUUUCAGGCGGGAGGUCGGGGGUUCGACUCCUCUCAUGUGCA
This 73-nucleotide transfer RNA is filed under the name Rhizobiales bacterium 65-9. RNAcentral's name for it is "tRNA-Glu". It matches the Rfam family "tRNA". From Rfam's summary of the family: Transfer RNA (tRNA) molecules are approximately 80 nucleotides in length. Their secondary structure includes four short double-helical elements and three loops (D, anti-codon, and T loops). Lineage: Bacteria; Pseudomonadati; Pseudomonadota; Alphaproteobacteria; Hyphomicrobiales. RNAcentral also lists the same sequence under 1 other name. The record is from RNAcentral.